This is a non-coding RNA of Phrynosoma platyrhinos (Desert horned lizard), 72 nucleotides long. The record is from the annotation of a GenBank genome assembly. Lineage: Eukaryota; Metazoa; Chordata; Lepidosauria; Squamata; Phrynosomatidae.
GCCAGCAUGGUAUAGUUGUUUGAGCACUGGACUAUGACUCUGCAGAACAGAGUUCAAAUCCCUGCUCAGGCA